This 361-nucleotide ribosomal RNA is filed under the name uncultured bacterium. RNAcentral describes it as "bacterial SSU rRNA". It matches the Rfam family "Bacterial small subunit ribosomal RNA", at positions 444 to 793 of the family's 1533-position model. The record is from RNAcentral.
AAGGUAGUGUAGUUAACACCUGCACUAUUUGACGUUACCUACAGAAGAAGCACCCGGCUAACUCCGUGCCAGCAGCCGCGGUAAUACGGAGGGUGACGAGCGUUUAAUCGGAAUUACUGGGCGUAAAAGCGCAUGCAGGUGGUUUGUUAAGUCAGAUGUGAAAGCCCCGGGGCUACAACCUACCGGAAUUGCAUUUGAAACUGGCAGACUAGAGUACGUGUAGAGGGGGUAGAAUUUCAGGUGUAGCGGUGAAAUGCGUAGAGAUCUGAAGGAAUACCGGUGGCGAAGGCGGCCCCCUGGACAGAUACUGACACUCAGAUGCGAAAGCGUGGGGAGCAAACAGGAUUAGAUACCCUGGUAG